UAUGGUGAUGGUUGUUGUUUACCGAGGUAGAGCCUCGCUCUCUCUCUUGUUGGGAUGUCAAUUGAGUUGCAGCGAGCAAGGAAGCGAUGUCCAGGCCAAGCCCGCUUUAGCUGCUCUACCGCUCUUGUUUUCAGAAGCGACCUGCCCACAACAACAACAAGGCCAAGCCCGCUUUAGCUGCUCUACCGCUCUUGUUUUCAGAAGCGACCUGCCCACAACAACAACAAGCUGUCACUUCUUCUGCAUAAUUAAUCUAAUGGAGCAAAGGCACUCUGCACGGCUCGGUGCAUACAGCACGGAUCGUACUGGAAAUUUGACACGGCACCAGGGAACUCGCACAAGAGAGAAACCCUUCAAGUGCAGUGUGUGUGGGAAGGCAUUUUCACAUCCAUCUGCUCUUCAAAAACACCAGAGAACACACACAGGAGAGAAACCCUUCAAGUGCAGUGUGUGUGGGAAGGCAUUUGCACGUUCAUGUCCUCUUGUAAUACACCAGAGAACACACACGGGAGAGAAACCCUUCAAGUGCAGUGUGUGUGGGAAGGCAUUUGCACGUUCAUGUUCUCUUGUAAUACACCAGAGAACACACACGGGAGAGAAACCCUUCAAGUGCAGUGUGUGUAGGAAGGCGUUUGCACAGUCAUCUACUCUUGCAAUGCACCAGAGAACACACACGGGAGAGAAACCCUUCAAGUGCAGUGUGUGUGCGAAGGCAUUUGCACAUUCAAUUUCUCUUGUAGCACACCAGAGAACGCACACAGGAGAGAAACCCUUCAAGUGCAGUGUGUGUGGGAAGGCGUUUGCACAGUCAUCUACUCUUGUAGAACACCAGAGAACACACACGGGAGAGAAACCUCUCAAGUGCCGUGUGUGUGGGAAGGCGUUUGCACGGUCAUCUACUCUUGGAAAACACCAGAUAACACACACGGCAGAGAAAUCCUUCAAGUGCAAUGUGUGUGGGAAGGGGUUUGCACGUUCAUCUACUCUUGUAGACCACCAGAGAACACACACAGGAGAGAAACCCUUCAAGUGCAGUGUUUGUGGGAGGGCGUUUGCACUUUCAUCUCCUCUUGUCGCACACCAGAGAACACACACGGGAGAGAAACCCUUCAAAUGCAGUGUUUGUGGGAAAGCGUUUGCACAGUCAUCUACUCUUGGAAUACACCAGAGAACGCACACAGGAGAGAAACCCUUCAAAUGCCGUGUGUGUGGGAAGGCGUUUGCACAGUCAUCUACUCUUGUAGAACACCAGAGAACACACACGGGAGAGAAACCUCUCAAGUGCAGUGUGUGUGGGAAGGCGUUUGCACGUUCAUCUCGUCUUGUAGCACACCAGAGAACACACACGGGAGAGAACCCCUUCAGGUGCACUCCUUGCAGGAAGACGUUUGCACUUGCAUCAAAUCUUCACGCACACCAGAGAACACACAAGCAUCAGAAGAUCCAGAAGGAGUGGAGUCUGAAAUCAGCUUGUGAAAGUCAAAGUGCCGCAAUGAGCCCAUCCCUCAUUAAACAAGAACUGGAAGAAAAGCCCAGGUUGGACACUUUUAAAGGUAUCAAGGUGAAAUAUGAAGAGGUGAAGGUGAAAUCUGAAGAAGUGUUGGUCAAGAGCGAAGAAGUGAAGGUAAAAUGUGAAGAUGAAGAUUUAACUCCAAAAUCAGACCUUCACGUCGAUAGAGGCAACAUGAAGCAGGAGGAGAAUUCUGACUGUGAGGCAGAGCGAGGCAACUCCCAGAAGUUUGUGGAAGUUGAGGUGUGGGUGGACUUCCUCUGUAACAAUACAAAGUCAAAUGUAGACCCGGUAGAUGUGUAGCUUGAGAUUAUGUCGCUCCAAUAGACGCACCUUUGUCACAGGCCUUUAAUGACAAGAAUGUGAAGUUGAACGCACAAUUCCUAGGUUCAACCUGCAGGGUAAGAGCGGCCAGUCUUUGUGGACUUGUGGGUUGCGUAGAUCUCUAACCAGGAGUGAGAGCCAAUAAGCACCCAAGCAUUCGCUAUGUAAUCAUAAUUGCAUUUACAUGGUGCUUGCUUAAUCGCCUCAGCAACUUGGAGUUUUGUAUCGUAUCUCGUCUCAAACACUCGAAGAGCAUCCCCAAGUAGCAGCUGCCCCUGUGUGGCACAAGGAGGUGGCCCUACACCGGCCUGCAUGUGGACAAGAGCCUGUCAGUAGGGGGCGGUGGUUGAUGUGGCAUCUUAGUUGUGGAGUUUGUAGGUAAUGUUUUAGAAUUUGAUAAAUUUUGACCCAGAUGCCAGCAUGCAAUGGCCUCGUUUUCAAUUACACAAUAUUAUGUUGUCCAUACACUGUUAAGCAGACGGUGCGUAUUUUUUAAAAUAACUUAUUGUUAAUACGAUGUAACCUGAUUCGGCAUAAUUAGGUGCAGUAAUUAAAUUUUGUUAAAAUGACUCAAUAAUUUAGAAUUAAUACUUGUCUGAUUUUGUCUAUAAGGGUCAAACAUUGAUUAAGUGAUGUUAGGACAAAGUGUGUGUUUUGGAAGUAACCUGGAUAGUUCACUCUGGUGAGACCCGUUGUUUUUGUGAUACAGGUCAAAGGGUUAUUUUGUGUUUUCAGGAAGUAUCUCCCUUUGGAGCAACUCAUUGUCUUUGUAAUAGUGAGCUCAUUCGGAUCAUUCAUCAGUUACAAGGCAUACCACUCAAAAGUUACACGAAUAUGAGGUACAUUCUCUACAACACGAAUUAUAAUUUUGUAUUACAUGUUGAUGUAGAUUUUGUCGAACUAGGACUAGAAAUUCUCCUUGCUAAUUAACGUCUGAAUGUUCACAACCAUGGGUUGAAGCAAGCCCCUCACAACCUUUUACGACCUUGGGCCAGGAAAGUCAUGAAAAAAAACUGCGCACGAACGACGCAUCCACGCAAGCUCCCGAUGGUCCGUUUUGAAGUUUGAAAAUGAAACAACGUUGAAUUGUAUUAUAUUUUGAAUUAGAUAAUUGUAUUUCUUCAUUAAAAGCUUAUAUCAUUUUACAUCUGGUAGACUUAAUCUAAAACGACAGUUCGUAUAAAUUUCCUCUCGUCGUUAAGUAGAUGGCCUUGCCGGGGAUUUGGUUCAAUGCGGACUUUCACCUUGUUGGGAUCGCGGGAUCGAGAUAAGGCGACACAGAGCUGGCUGUGCGAGAAGACCGCCGUCCGUAGAUCGAUUCCAACGUGAUCGAACGUCUGUCCCUGCGCCUCCGUCGUUCAUACAGGGGGUGUGUAGGUUUGCAGCGCCCCCUGCAUGAAAACGACGGAAAGUGCAGCGUUCGUCACAGAUAGAUGAAGUUGUGCGCUUAUAUAAGAGUAUAGCCAGUGGGUUUCAAAGUACCUUUGUCUUACAGCAAUCAAUUUCGCGUGAGCCCAACGCAUUAAAACAAUGCUCAGCUGAGCGGGGCAAGCCACGGUGUGGGGGGGUGAGGCACCUUAUAUAUGUCACGUGCCGUAGCUCACGUGACUUCUGCCGCGAAAAUGUCUGGAUGUUUUAAUCUGAUGACGACUGCUUGUGUUGUGAUCGAAACGUCGCGAUUUAUUUUAUUAUUUUAUUUUUUCUACGUACGUGACUUUACCGAAAGAACCAAAGAGUAUGAAAGACGUCUUAUCUGCUGAUCUUGUUCAUAUCUGUGUACAUCGAUAUCCCACAUUGCUUACAUGUACACGCCACACUGAAAUUAAUAUAAACUAGAACGACUUCCGGGGAUGGGCAAAGAUCGAGAAAACUCUUUCCAUGGAGCGAGUUAAGUGUUUUCGAUUCAACAUCUCUGUCCGUCUUUGUCUCUGUUGCCUCUGUGUGUCUCUGUCUCCUCUAUCUUUCUCUGUCUCUGUAUUCCUCUUGUCUGUGUCUGUCCGCCUGUCUUGUCUGUGUGUGUCUGUCUAUCAGCGUCUGUCACACCGGAGUCAACGACUGUCAAUAGCAGCACACGCCCGUUUAACUCCCACGGCUACACGCCACUCAAACUUGCUCCGAACACACAAAGACAAAGAUCCCCCAUAUAGCCUGGACAGAAUGUCGGGGCAAGUGCCCAAGCCUUGUCCCUCGUUUUCAUGAGCUUAGUAAUCAAAGGAUCAAACCAUGGUGGGCGGUUCCCUUUAGUUUUAAAUAUAACCAACGGAGCAUGUUUGUCAAGAAUUUGAAGAAACGUGUACCUGAAGAUCUCCCAAGCCGUAGUCAGGUUUGGGAUUUCAGAGACCUUGUCAAUAUCCAAGUGAAGCACAUCAUUAGUAAAUGCCUGAAUGCUCAAGUGUCUCAUGGAGUGCUUCUCAACCAAUUUAGGGGGGGCUUUGGGUCUGGCUGAUGAUCUCACCCCAAAUAUGAAGGAGUGAUCACUAAGGUUAUUACCCAGAACACCAGUCAGUGCGAUAUUGUGAGGGUCAUUUGUCAAUAGGACGUCAAGCAGACAUGACUAUCCCGGAUUUUUUAGGUUGGGUCUUGUGGGGACAUUUAUUUAUUGAAAUAGGUUAAAUUCAUCUGUAAAAUUUGUGGCCACGGCCUGCGAUUUUAGCCAAUUCCAAUUUAGAUCACACACUAAAACGAUUUCACCUUUAGGGAGGCCCCCAAGAAGCUCUCUCAGUGCAGACGCAGCUUCAACAUCCCUACCACUAGGUGGUCUAUAGCAGCACACUACCAAUAUCUGUUGAUUAUUUGGGAGAGUUAUUCUGAGAGCAAGACCUUCAAAGCAAGUUUUUUUAAACAAGGAGUGAGCUGGUGAACAUGCAAUAGUAUUACAAAUAUAGAUGGCAAUUCCACCUCCUUUAGAUCCUCGGUCAAGCCCAAAGAGGUUGUAGUUGUCAAUCGUAAUCUGCAAGUCAUUUACAGGAGGAGUGAGAAAUGUUUGUUAGGCAAACAAUGUCCGGGUCCAGACUUGCCAGUUCUAGUUUUAGUUUACUUAAUUUAAUCACAAGCCCUCUGAUGUUGACGUGUAGAACACCAACACCUUUUCUGCCAGAAAAAUCUACGUAAUUAUACGUUUUCUUUGAGCCAGGAUGACGCUCAAUACCACCCAGAAAUAAGAAAAGUAGAAUUAAUAGUUUGCACAGGUAUUUUCUGUGAAAGGAUGAAGAGCGGCGAACCUUGGACGAAUAUCAGCAACUCGCAGAUGGUGAUAUUCUUAAGAGCAGAAUGAAGUUUGGAAGGAGUGCUGGUGAAGUCAUGGGACAAAGAUAGGGUUGAAAAGGAUUCAAUGAUGGAGUGUAUAAUUGUCUAUACGCUGUUUCAUUAGCAGGUGUAGUGGCAAAUUGAGCAACAAGUAUGGACGCGAAGUAACCAGGGUAGCCGUUUGUAGAGUUGAGUGUGGCACUAGAUAUGGCCGGGAGGGACAACAGUAGGAUAUACAGCAGGAGAAUUGCCAUCUUUAAAAUAUCAGGGGUAUACUCUUAGUUCUUUCAGUAAAGUCACGUAGGUAAAAAAUGAAAUAAAAAUUUAUAAAAAUAAAACAAUGAAAAUCACGACGUCGUGAUUCACUUUGCAGGAUCAAAGGUGCAACAUCAAUACCUUUGUCAAGAAGGUUUAUCUUGCCUACUUAAAAAAUUGGGCUCCUCACAAAGUGUGUAAAAUCUGUGUUGAAACUUUGCGAUCAUGGUCUAAAGGAAAGAAUGCUAAGCUGAAGUUUGGUGUGCCAAUGGUUAGGAGAGAACCUACAAACCAUUUGGAUAACUGCUACUUCUGCCUUGUCAAUGUAAAAGGUUUCAAUAAGAAAAACAAACAACAUUUACAAUACCCAGAUAUCCCAUCUACCAGACGACCAGUUGAGCACUGUGAGGAAAUACUUGUGCCUGUAUUAACUGAGCUACCAGAGAUUUAUGCUGAAUCCCUCAGUUUACCUGUUUAUACAGAUGAUGAUGAUGCUCAGAUAGAAUAUACGUCAUCUGAUGCAGAUUGUGAUAAAAUGUAUCUGUUUAGUCAGCUUGAAUUGAAUGAUCUUGUAAGAUAUUUGUAUUUACCAAAGCAGUCUGCUGAAUUGUUGGCUUCCAGGCUGCAAGAGAAAGGACUACUCAGACCUGGUACUACUGUCCCCUUUUAUCGUAACAGAGAAGCAGUACUUCCAUUCAGAUGGUCAACUUGUUUAUUGUAAUGAUGUUGAAGGGCUUCUUCUCAAUAUGGGACUGCCCGCAUAUGAUUAAAGUGAAUGGAGACUUUUUAUUGACAGUAGUAAAAGGAGUUUGAAAUGUGUGUUACUUCACAACAGAAAUAUAUAUGGUUCAAUCCCAAUAGGACACUAAAAAUGAAUGAAGAAUAUGCCAACAUCAAGAUUGUUCUGGAUAGAUAGGAAUACCAUGUUCAUGGAUGGCUAAUUUGUGUUGAUUUGAAAAUGGUUACUUUUCUGCUGGGUCAGCAAGGAGGUCACACCAAAUACCCUUGUUUCCUGUGCUACUGGGACAGUAGGGCUACAUUAGAAUACUGGGUUAAACAGAACUGGCCACCAAGAAUCAGUUUGACGCCUGGUGACAAGAACAUCAAGAAUGAGCCUCUGGUUGAUAGGAAUAAAAUUGUAUUUCCCCCACUGCACAUAAAACUUAGGUUAAUGAAGCACUUUGUCAAAGCUCUUGAUCACACUGGAGACUGCUUCAGCUAUAUAUGUUCAACCUUUUCAAGUCUCAGUGCCGAGAAGAAAAGGCAGGAAUAUUUGUUGGCCCUCAAAUAAGAACACUCAUCAGGGAUCCACAAUUUGUUACGACUGCGGCAGAGGCUAGAGCUUGGAAUGCAUUAUCUGAUGUGGUGCGGAAUUUCCUUGGGAACAGGAAAGUGGACAACUAUCGAGAGAUUGUGGAGGAGCUGCUCUUGAGUUUCCAAGCACUUGGAUGUAGAACGAGCAUCAAGGUUGCAUAGUCACUUGGCUCAGUUUCCAGAGAACAUGGGUCACGUGAGUGAAGAGCAAGGUGAACGCUUUCGUCAAGACAUUAAAGUUAUGGAAGAACGUUACCAAGACCAUAUGGGACUCAAACAUGAUGGCAGAUUAAUGCUGGUCCUUGAUGAGAGACAUUCCACAAGCUGUACAUCGGAGAUCGUCAAAGAAGAGGUCGUUUAUCGAGAUGUAACAUCACUAUUGUGAAUGACCUUUUUGUACAUAUUUUUAUUAUCUUCACAAUUCAAUUCUUACAUGGUAAUAUACAUUCACUCACAUUGAUAUGCAGUCACUCUCACAACUUUGUGCUACGGCUCAUUAAAUGUUUGUUUCAUUAUUAUUGUAUCUUAUCUUAUUCUUGUAUGGAUGUCUUUAGCUAUUUGUAUAUGAGCAUACAUUUGCUGAUUUGAUUGAAAAUGCAAUAUUUCAUAUCCCAAAAAUCUGAUGUGAUAGACAAAAACUGAUGCCAGAUUUGGAAUCAGCACCCCAAAAUUACCUUAAAACCGUUGGAAUACCUUAUGCCAGAAAAAGUGUGACCAGUGUAAUUUUUAACUCAAUAAACAAAUAAAAAUAAACCCAACAUUUCAAUAAAUAUCCUUGUAUUUGUAUUACAAUAAAUAUAGACACGUACAUUUAUAUUUGAAAGUGCAUAAAUGUACACAAAUUAACAAAAAAACAAUACAAAAGCGGAGUGCUUUAGUCAAGGCACUAACGGACUAGGCCCUAAAUCACAUUCAAACUCAUUAACACAUUAACACUAAAUAAACGUAAUCUUGUUCUCUCUGCCUGUGUCCUUUCUUUGGAAUUUUCACACUUAAAUUCUAACUUAGCAAUCUUUGAAAUACGUAAUCAACCGGGCUAUGCGUUAAUUGUGUGCUGACCGACUCUCUGUGUUGCAUUACAUUACAUUUCGAUAUUUUACUAGGUUAUUUAAUUUUAGUGUGCCUUUCUAAUUUUCAAGCUUGUGUACUGUACCACGUUGCCAUCUUGCUUACCCGCUGUCUGUUCUCUCUGCCUGGGUCCUCUCUUUGGAAUUCUCACACUUAAAUUCUAACUUAGCAAUCUUUCAAAUACGUAAUCAACCGGGCUAUGCGUUAAUUGUGUGUUGACCGACUCUCUGUGUUGUAUUACAUUCUUCUUCUUUAGUGCUGCCUAACGGCGUGUGCGACUUCACGAUGAUAUUGGUCCCGGUCUAGCACGGCGUGUAGAGUUUGUGCUGUUGUUAAUUGUAGCCAUGUUUUGAUGUUACUGAGCCAUGUCGUUUUUGGCCGUCCUAGUCGUUUUUUCCCUUCGAUUUUUCCUUCCAGGAUUUGCUUUAAUAGCUGGUAUUUGUGGUCGUUUCGGGCAAUGUGGCCUAGGUAGUAACACUUCCUGCUAAUGAUGGUCUUCAGCAGUUGCCUGUCAGUGCCCAUAUCUUGCAGAGCUUGUGUAUUGGUGGUUUUGGCUGUCCAUGGGAUUUUCAGCAUUCUUCGAUACAGCCACAUCUCGAAAGCUUCGAGCCUUUUUGUUGCUGUUGUUGUCAGUGUCCACGUCUCUACUCCGUACAGCAAAAUUGACCAGAUGUAGCAUUUCAGUGUGCGCAGUUUGAGUGAUGUACUCAAGUUGCGGUCUGCAAGGAGUGUUUUCCAUUUAAUAAAUGCUUGCCUUGCUUGUUCAAUUCUGCUCUUGAUUUCGACUUCAUGGUUCAACUGAUCGUCAAUUAUUACACCAAGGUAUUUAAAUCGGUGUACUUGUUCCAAUUUUUCGCUGCCCAGCUUGAUUGUUAUUUCGCUUGUAGUUCGGCUGACCUUCAUAACCUUUGUUUUCUUUUUAUUAAUUCGUAAGCCCCAUAUUUGACUCUCUGUGGCAACCUCGUCCAAGAUUUGUUGUAGGUCUUGUUCUGAAUCGGCCAGCAGUGCAGUGUCGUCGGCAUACCUGAUGUUGUUGAUGUAUUGUCCAUUGACUUUAAUACCAAUGUUUUUAUCUGUUAGUGUUCGAUCAAAAAUCUGCUCCGAGUAGAUGUUGAAAAGACUGGGUGAAAGUGGGCAGCCCUGUCGUACACCUUUUUGUAUUGGUGUUGGGUCUGUCAAUUCGUUGUCAUAUCAGAGUUGGGCUGUUUGCUUCCAAUAAAGAGCAAUGAUGAAUCUUCUUGGUUCUUUCGGUAAAGUCACGUAGAAGGGAAGUAAUAAAAUAAUAAAAAUAAAACAUAAUAAAACAAUUCUCACGACGUUUCGGCCACAACGCAAGCAGCCG
This is an RNA transcript of Lethenteron reissneri (Far Eastern brook lamprey), 9059 nucleotides long. It is a transcript of the gene named zinc finger protein ZFP2-like, with no coding region annotated. The record is from RefSeq and is a predicted model, not a curated record. NCBI's taxonomy places the organism in Eukaryota, Metazoa, Chordata, Hyperoartia, Petromyzontiformes, Petromyzontidae.